Molecule: long non-coding RNA, 222 nt
Filed under: Elaeis guineensis (African oil palm)
Lineage: Eukaryota; Viridiplantae; Streptophyta; Magnoliopsida; Arecales; Arecaceae
Description: long non-coding RNA (EGUI_LNC049929)
Source: RNAcentral
AAUUUCAAAUUUAAAUGCAUGCUGUUGUAUCAUAUUUAGAUCCUAGUGUAGGGUUAAUUAGUAUUAAUUAAUAAGAUUAAUUAAUAAUUUUGCUGUAAAAUAGUAAUUUUUGAAAAAAUUUUAAAAUUACCAUUUUGCCCCUGCACUAAAUUUUCGCUACAGUUAUAUCUUUUUUCUAAUAAAUUUCAAAUUAUUGACUAUUCAGAUAGCAAUUGGGGGGAG